AUGGGAGGGACAGAGGGGCGUUUCUACACGGACCAGAAGUCUGGCUCACAGUGGGGCGGGGGAGGGGCCAGGGUUGCUGUGACGUCGACCCCAGCAUUGAGACCCCCACAAUGCCCGCAAGGACCAGAACCUCGGGCAGCGCCAGACUCUGCAGGGUCCAAGAACAGCCAGCCUUUCCUGCCCAAGAUUGAAGGCCCUCUGCUGCAGAUCAUGGGCCGCCCCCCAUCAGAGGUUGAAGAUGCCCUUCUGGAGAAUGAAGUCCUCCCAGACAGCAUGCCGUGCUUCCCAGAGGGAGACAGUAUAAGCAACACAGAGAGGGACCAGGGCCCUUGGGAUGUGGUAUUAUCCCCUGAUGGGGAGGGAUCCACAGGGGUCGUGGACAGAAGCAAACUGCUAUGGGAGUCCAGCCUGGCCCCCAUCUCUGAGGCCUUGGGGACCCCAACCACAGACCACCCUGCUAGCUGUAACUGUGGGCAGCUGGGACCCAUAGCACUCUUCUCUCUCCCGGAGGCCACGGAGCCAGUGUCACAAAACUCCUCCCAGAGCCCUCAGGUUUUGCCCACCCCCCCCAAACAAAAUGAUUGGAGGAUGGACAAAGAAGAGAAAAAAGACCCUGAGCUGAUGAGCUCCUACCCAAUGAGGCCUGACCCUGCCAGACAUAUUUGGCCCAAGAAUCGAAUGUGCCAGGCAUAUAACGGAGCCCCAGAGGCAGGCAGACCCACAUCGGGAUGCCGGGGACCUCAGGCUUUCAGUUAUACAGACUCUGGUGAAGCACGGGCCCUGGUGCCACCUCAGCUAGACCUGAGCUCCACACAAGGGUGUGCUACUCCAAAGCCCUGUUGUGAAUGGCCAGAAGUACAAGCAUACACAGACAUGAAAAUGCACAUAGAGAAGCCAUCUCCAGCUCUUAAACAUGAUCACACACAUAGAAAAAAGCAUAUGCGCAUGACAACAGACACAGAUCUAGGUCCUCCAACCUUUUAAUCCCCCUGAAAACGCUGGUCCCACAGUGAUAUCCUGAGGAUGGACUGAAGGAUCCUGGGAUUUGGAGAGAAACAAGUGUUCAAUAAAGGCUAAAAGACUCCCUAUCUGCUCUACA
RNAcentral lists this long non-coding RNA (1099 nucleotides) under Monodelphis domestica (gray short-tailed opossum). RNAcentral describes it as "lncRNA (ENSMODG00000037025.1)". The record is from RNAcentral. Lineage: Eukaryota; Metazoa; Chordata; Mammalia; Didelphimorphia; Didelphidae.